Molecule: ribosomal RNA, 253 nt
Filed under: uncultured bacterium
Lineage: Bacteria
Description: partial 16S ribosomal RNA
Rfam family: Bacterial small subunit ribosomal RNA
Source: RNAcentral
UACGGAGGAUCCAAGCGUUAUCCGGAAUCAUUGGGUUUAAAGGGUCCGUAGGCGGUCUAAUAAGUCAGGCGUGCAAGCCCGUGGCUCAACCACGGAAUUGCGUUUGAAACUGCUUAGCUUGAGUACAGGAGAGGAAAGCGGAAUUCCCAGUGUAGCGGUGAAAUGCAUUGAUAUUGGGAAGAACAUCUGUGGCGAAGGCGGCUUUCUGGUCUGUUACUGACGCUGAGAUACGAAAGCCAGGGGAGCAAAGGGG